This 21-nucleotide microRNA is filed under the name Asparagus officinalis (garden asparagus). RNAcentral describes it as "aof-miR12156". The record is from miRBase by way of RNAcentral. Lineage: Eukaryota; Viridiplantae; Streptophyta; Magnoliopsida; Asparagales; Asparagaceae.
CUCUGUAGAUGUCGCGAUGGA